RNAcentral lists this ribosomal RNA (222 nucleotides) under uncultured bacterium. RNAcentral's name for it is "partial 16S ribosomal RNA". It matches the Rfam family "Bacterial small subunit ribosomal RNA", at positions 57 to 305 of the family's 1533-position model. The record is from RNAcentral.
GCAAGUCGAGCGCAGUCCUUCGGGACCGAGCGGCGGACGGGUUAGUAACGCGUGGGAACAUACCCAACUCUAAGGAAUAGCCUCGGGAAACUGAGAGUAAUACCUUAUACGCCCUUCGGGGGAAAGAUUUAUCGGAGAUGGAUUAGCCCGCGUUGGAUUAGGUAGUUGGUGGGGUAAUGGCUCACCAAGCCGACGAUCCAUAGCUGGUUUGAGAGGAUGAUC